This 1133-nucleotide long non-coding RNA is filed under the name Piliocolobus tephrosceles (Ugandan red Colobus). Its description in RNAcentral is "lncRNA (ENSPTEG00000000792.1)". Lineage: Eukaryota; Metazoa; Chordata; Mammalia; Primates; Cercopithecidae. The record is from RNAcentral.
GAAUAAUAUUCGAUACGGAAAAAAAAAACGCUGCUGUUUAUAAGUUAGAAAACAUUAUAAAAGAAAAUGACAAAAAAAAAGAGUUUAUAAAAAAAAAACAAAUACAAAAUAUAUCAAAAAUUUUAUGACAGAAUAUGUAAAAAAAUUCGAAUUAUUCAUGAUGGCCCACCAUAUGCAAAUAAUGACAUUCAUAUCGGUCAUAUAUUAAAUAAAGUAAUAAAAGAUAUAUACUUAAAAUUUUUUUUUAUUAAAAAACUAUUAUGUUGUAUUAAUACAUGGAUUUGAUACACAUGGCUUACCAAUCGAAUAUAACGUAAUGAAAUUAUUAAAAAUAAAAAAUGUUGAUGAUAUUAAUUUAAACAGUUAUCCCUUUACAAAAUUAAAUAGACAAAGAAUUGUACAAAAUUGUGAUAAAAUAUAUCUUAAUAAAUUAAUUAAAAAAAAAAAAAAAAAAAAAAGACCUGUACAACAAUUAUUUUAUAACAUAAAAAAUGAACAAAACAGGUUUUUUGAUACUGAUGUAACAGAUAAAAAAAAAAAGAUUUUAUAUUUUAAAAAAUUAUGUAGGCUAUAUUCAUCACACUACAUUAAUGAACAAUUUAUUUCUUUGAUUUCUUAUGGUAUUUGGGGAAAAUGGGAAUAUUCAUAUAUAACUUUUUAUAAAUUAUAUGAGCAAAUCCAAAGAAAGGUUUUUGGGCAGCUCUUGAAACAUAACUAUAUUUAUAUGAGCAAUAGACCUAUACAUUAUAGCUACGCCACUAAAACGGUUUUGUCAGAUAGUGAGCUGAUUUACAAAAAUGUUACAUGUAACUCGUUUUACUUCUUUUAUAGCUUUAACAAAAUAAGUAUUGAUUUUUUAUUACAUUUUUUGAAAAGUUAUGAAGAUAAUAAUACCUUGAUAAAUGACUUACUUGGAUUAAAUAAAGAAGAAGAAUAUUUUGUUAUUAAUAAUCUGAGCGGUAUUAUAAAAUAUAUACAUUCGAACUAUGGAGCAAUACUUAAUGAAAAUUGUAGUGAUAAUAAUAUUAGAGACAGUGAAAGUGGUAAAAACUUACCCAGCUUAAUCAUAAAAAAAAUAAUAAAAAAAUAAUAAAAAAAAUAAAAAAUAACAUAAAAAUAUUAGUUUUUACUAC